This 72-nucleotide transfer RNA is filed under the name Camelus bactrianus (Bactrian camel). It matches the Rfam family "tRNA". From Rfam's summary of the family: Transfer RNA (tRNA) molecules are approximately 80 nucleotides in length. Their secondary structure includes four short double-helical elements and three loops (D, anti-codon, and T loops). Further hydrogen bonds mediate the characteristic L-shaped molecular structure. tRNAs have two regions of fundamental functional importance: the anti-codon, which is responsible for specific mRNA codon recognition, and the 3' end, to which the tRNAs corresponding amino acid is attached (by aminoacyl-tRNA synthetases). tRNAs cope with the degeneracy of the genetic code in two manners: having more than one tRNA (with a specific anti-codon) for a particular amino acid; and 'wobble' base-pairing, i.e. permitting non-standard base-pairing at the 3rd anti-codon position. RNAcentral also lists the same sequence under 1 other name. The record is from Rfam by way of RNAcentral. Lineage: Eukaryota; Metazoa; Chordata; Mammalia; Artiodactyla; Camelidae.
AAGGGUAUAGCUCAGUGGUAGAGCCCAUGCUUAACAUGUGUGAGGUCCUGGGUUCAAUCCCCAGUACUUUCA